Molecule: long non-coding RNA, 2201 nt
Organism: Trichechus manatus latirostris (Florida manatee)
Lineage: Eukaryota; Metazoa; Chordata; Mammalia; Sirenia; Trichechidae
Exons: 2
Source: RefSeq, a predicted model, not a curated record
AGCUUCAGAUAUAGGUUGGCACUAGGUGAGUGAGGUGAGAUCACUGAAUCUAUUUUCUUCUACACUGGACCUGAAAAGUAUUUUGUGUUUUAAGGGAUGUUGCUGCUGCUCAGUUCAAAGGCAAAGCUUCCCAAGUUGUUUCGACUAGUUUUCUUCUUGAUUAUAAAAAUGUUUAAUAAGUUAUAUGGUACAAGUGCAACACUUUCUAGAAUUGCUUUUUUUGUCAAUCAGGUCACCUGUAUUUGGGCCCUUGCUACAUUAAUGGAACGGAAGUAGGCCAGCAAAGGUUUUAGUAGAGUGUGAGUAUGUUUGCUUUUAGGCUAUUUUCUGUGAAAUCCACAGAUAAGGGACUCUUAUUGAGCAAAAUUAUAAACUGUAAAAAUAGUUAUGGUUUCAUUGUUUUUCUCUUUUCCCCUAGAUUAACUUCUUGGCAAGUUAUAUUUAUAUCUCUGUGAAGUUGUAUUUCACAGAUGUAAUUAAAAUGUAAUUUUGUGUUUCAAAAAGUGUACCAGACUGCUUCUCAGAGUACCAGUUCUUUUCAGCCAGUCCAUUUCAAAUUAAGAGGCUUUGUGGAUGCUGGUCCAUUGAUGGCUGAACAGCAGGUCCCCCCCAAGUGGAAAACCCCGAGAUGAGCCAAAUCUACCUUCAACUGUGGCCAUCCAUCAGUGUAAGGUUGCCCUAAUGGUUGUCUUCAGUUUGUCCAACUCCUUCCUCCACCCCAUGCUCCUCAUGUGUGGCUGAAACUUGCCCUGACAUCCCACCCUUGUAACAUUUCAAUGGGUAGUAAUAGGAUUUUAUUUAUUGCUGCUGCUUUUCAUUUUCAAUUAAUGUUAAGUAAUUGUCUGACAAUUUUUUAUUGAGCAUAGCCCUCUUUCCCCCACAUUUGUAUAUUUCGUAUGGGUAUCCUGGUUUGCUUUUCAUUACAUACAGAAUACAAUUUAAAAAAUACUGUCUUUCAAAAGCCCACUUGGAGAAUGCUUUAUUAACAUUUUUUUUUUUACUUCAAGUCUGAGCUUUCAAAAAGAAAUUUCUUUAUCUGAAGUAAUGAGAACUGAGUCCCCUCAGGCUUCAUGUCCUUUUUCCUCACCCAAAAACCAAAUGUGUAAACGUUCUCAUUUUAUUACACACUGAAAAUAGUAAAGCAGAAGGAGAGAGACGUAUCCUCAACUGUAGCUGAUAAGCCCAUCCUAACUUAGUGCUUUUGAGCAAAUAGAGCACCUUUUGUUUUCCUUUUUUCAUAUAGCCACACUGUUUCUGCAGCAGUUGCUAGUGAUGGAAAGACCAUAAGUCCCCAAGCCUCUAACCCAGAACUUACAUCUUUAAAUGUGGGUUUACGUGUUAAGCCUACAACAUUACUUCACUUUAUUUGUCUGAAGUACACAUGCAGUGAAUUUUUUGUUUAACUUCUUCCUCUUUUCUUGCCUCACUGGAAGUCCCCGAAUGUGUGGAUUUAGAAAUGAGUUCUCUAGUGUUUCUAGCUUUGAGUUAAAAAAUGUGUCUUAAGAUGUACUUUUUAGGUGGUUGUUUUUAUUCUUAUACCUUUGAAAAAUAAUUUCUUAAAGAAUUUUCUAUGUGAGCUGAUAACAUCUUAUGCUAUAGUAUAAAGCUCAGAGUGGUGGUGGCUGUCACGAUGCCUUUUUUUUUCGACACAGCCCUCAGACGAGAAAUAGGAAGGAAACUCCCUGUUCUUACCAUGGUGCUUUUUUCUUUCCCCCAAAUAGCUGUAAACAACAGAGCUAAUGGAAACCAAUUUAAGUGUGGCUGCUGAUUUGAGAAAGAAAGAAUUAAAAGAUUCAAGCCAUUCUCCUGUGCUGAAAAGCAUUUUUACUAAAAGAAUAGCUGUUUGGAACUGGGGUUGAGCUUUGUCUCUCUGAAGGUAGGCAUAAGAAGUUUGGUUAGAGUAACUGUUUCAGACUAAGGUGAAAUUCGAGAAAAUUUUUUUUCCUACAGUGUGACUACUGUAUUAACGUUCUCAGCUCGUACAUGAUAGAAAGGAAGCUUCACUAAAUGCAGCACUGGAAUAAAAAAGACUGCAACUCAGCUUCUCUUCUGAGCACUCUGACUUGGUUCUGAGCCUAAUCUGUGAACAGAAGCAGCCUGACACAAGUGACUCAAGUCAAAGGUCCGAAAUUAUGGGCAGAGUGAAAAUAGGGCCCAGUUUCAUUAGGCUUCUCAUGCAUUUAAGAAAGAAAAAAAAAAAA